GACGAACGCUGGCGGCGUGCUUAACACAUGCAAGUCGAACGGAAAGGCCCUGCUUUUGUGGGGUGCUCGAGUGGCGAACGGGUGAGUAACACGUGAGUAACCUGCCCUUGACUUUGGGAUAACUUCAGGAAACUGGGGCUAAUACCGGAUAGGAGCUCCUGCUGCAUGGUGGGGGUUGGAAAGUUUCGGCGGUUGGGGAUGGACUCGCGGCUUAUCAGCUUGUUGGUGGGGUAGCGGCUUACCAAGGCUUUGACGGGUAGCCGGCCUGAGAGGGUGACCGGCCACAUUGGGACUGAGAUACGGCCCAGACUCCUACGGGAGGCAGCAGUGGGGAAUAUUGCACAAUGGGCGGAAGCCUGAUGCAGCAACGCCGCGUGCGGGAUGACGGCCUUCGGGUUGUAAACCGCUUUCGCCUGUGACGAAGCGUGAGUGGCGGUAAUGGGUAAAGAAGCACCGGCUAACUACGUG
This 468-nucleotide ribosomal RNA is filed under the name uncultured bacterium. Its description in RNAcentral is "partial 16S ribosomal RNA". It matches the Rfam family "Bacterial small subunit ribosomal RNA", at positions 28 to 507 of the family's 1533-position model. The record is from RNAcentral.